UCGCCUGUUUUAUCAAAAACAUAGUCUUAUGAAAUUUAUAUAAGAUUUUACCUGCCCGGUGAUUAUUUUAACGGCCGCAGUACUUUGACUGUGCUAAGGUAGCAUAAUAAAUUGACUUUUAAUUGAAGUCUAGAAUGAAAGGAUAAAUGAAUAUUUACUGUCUUAUUUAAAAUAUUUUUAAAUUACUUAAAAAGUGAAAAUUCUUUUAUUUAUUUUAAUAGACGAGAAGACCCUAGGAGUUUUAUUUUAUUUUUGUUGGGGCAACAUUAUAGCAAAAUUAACCUAUAAAUAAUUAAUUUUAUAUAACGAUAAUUAUAAUUUAGUUUAAACUACCCUAGGGAUAACAGCAUAAUUAAAUUUUUAGCUUAUGACCUCGAUGUUGGAUUAGGAACUUUAAAUAUUAGCUAUAUUUAUUGGUUGUUCUGUUCGAACAAAUUUACCUACGUGAUCUGAGUUCAGA
This 460-nucleotide ribosomal RNA is filed under the name Rhinocochlis moluensis. Its description in RNAcentral is "partial large subunit ribosomal RNA". It matches the Rfam family "Bacterial large subunit ribosomal RNA", at positions 1796 to 2615 of the family's 2925-position model. The record is from RNAcentral. Lineage: Eukaryota; Metazoa; Mollusca; Gastropoda; Stylommatophora; Dyakiidae.